This 253-nucleotide ribosomal RNA is filed under the name uncultured bacterium. Its description in RNAcentral is "partial 16S ribosomal RNA". It matches the Rfam family "Bacterial small subunit ribosomal RNA", at positions 524 to 776 of the family's 1533-position model. The record is from RNAcentral.
UACAGAGGAGCCAAGCGUUGUCCGGAUUGACUGGGCGUAAAGCGCACGCAGGCGGUUGCGCGCGUGGGGGGGGAAAUCUGGCCGCUUAACGGCCAGGCGCCAUCCCAUACGGCGCGACUGGAGCAAUGCAGAGGUCGGUGGAAUUGCCGGUGUAGUGGUGAAAUGCGUAGAGAUCGGCAGGAACACCCAGGGGGAAACCAGCCGACUGGGCAUUUGCUGACGCUGAGGUGCGAGAGCGUGGGGAGCGAACCGG